This 230-nucleotide ribosomal RNA is filed under the name uncultured bacterium. Its description in RNAcentral is "partial 16S ribosomal RNA". It matches the Rfam family "Bacterial small subunit ribosomal RNA", at positions 561 to 791 of the family's 1533-position model. The record is from RNAcentral.
UAAAGCGUGCGCAGGCGGUUUUGUAAGACUGUCGUGAAAUCCCCGGGCUCAACCUGGGAAUGGCGAUGGUGACUGCAAGGCUAGAGUUUGGCAGAGGGGGGUAGAAUUCCACGUGUAGCAGUGAAAUGCGUAGAUAUGUGGAGGAACACCGAUGGCGAAGCAGCCCCCUGGGUCAAAACUGACGCUCAUGCACGAAAGCGUGGGGAGCAAACAGGAUUAGAUACCCUAGU